This 423-nucleotide ribosomal RNA is filed under the name uncultured archaeon. RNAcentral's name for it is "partial 16S ribosomal RNA". It matches the Rfam family "Archaeal small subunit ribosomal RNA", at positions 323 to 746 of the family's 1478-position model. The record is from RNAcentral.
CUACGGGUGGCAGCAGUUAGGAAUAUUUUGCAAUGCGCGUAAGCGUGACAAAUUGAACCAGAGUGAUUUUCAAAUUUGAAAGUCUUUUAUGAAAUGUAAAAAGUUUCUUGAAUAAGGACUGGGUAAGACGAGUGCCAGCCGCCGCGGUAAUACUCGCGGUCCAAGUCGCAGCCAUUUUUAUUGGGUCUAAAACAUCCGUAGCUUGUUUGGUAAGUUUCCUGUGAAAUUUCGUAUCUCAAAUACGAAGCGUGCAAGAAAUACUGCCAGGCUAGAGACUGGAAGACGUGAGAAGUACGUUCUAAGUAAUGGUAAAAUAUGUUAAUCUAGAACGGACUCACAAUAGCGAAGGCAUCUCACGAGGACAGUUCUGACAGUAAGGGAUGAAGGCUAGGGGCGCAAAACGGAUUAGAUACCCUUGUAGUC